This 253-nucleotide ribosomal RNA is filed under the name uncultured bacterium. RNAcentral's name for it is "partial 16S ribosomal RNA". It matches the Rfam family "Bacterial small subunit ribosomal RNA", at positions 524 to 776 of the family's 1533-position model. The record is from RNAcentral.
UACGGAGGGUGCAAGCGUUGUUCGGAAUUAUUGGGCGUAAAGCGCGUGUAGGCGGUUGUUUAAGUCUGGUGUGAAAGCCCGGGGCUCAACCCCGGAAGUGCAUUGGAUACUGAACAACUUGAGUACGGGAGAGGAAAGUGGAAUUCCGAGUGUAGGGGUGAAAUCCGUAGAUAUUCGGAGGAACACCAGUGGCGAAGGCGGCUUUCUGGACCGAUACUGACGCUGAGACGCGAAAGCGUGGGGAGCAAACAGG